UACGGGGGGGGCAAGCGUUGUUCGGAAUUACUGGGCGUAAAGGGCUCGUAGGCGGCCAACUAAGUCAGACGUGAAAUCCCCAGGCUCAACCUGGGAACUGCGUCUGAUACUGGAUGGCUUGAAUCCGGGAGAGGGAUGCAGAAUUCCAGGUGUAGCGGUGAAAUGCGUAGAUAUCAGGAGGAACACCAGUGGCGAAGGCGGCUUCCUGGACACCAACUGACGCUGAGACGCGAAAGCGUGGGGAGCAAACAGG
This 253-nucleotide ribosomal RNA is filed under the name uncultured bacterium. RNAcentral describes it as "partial 16S ribosomal RNA". It matches the Rfam family "Bacterial small subunit ribosomal RNA", at positions 524 to 776 of the family's 1533-position model. The record is from RNAcentral.